This 250-nucleotide ribosomal RNA is filed under the name uncultured bacterium. RNAcentral's name for it is "partial 16S ribosomal RNA". It matches the Rfam family "Bacterial small subunit ribosomal RNA", at positions 355 to 597 of the family's 1533-position model. The record is from RNAcentral.
UGGGGAAUUUUGGACAAUGGGCGCAAGCCUGAUCCAGCCAUGCCGCGUGUGGGAAGAAGGCCUUCGGGUUGUAAACCACUUUUGUCAGGGAAGAAACGGUCUGGUCUAAUAAACCGGACUAAUGACGGUACCUGAAGAAUAAGCACCGGCUAACUACGUGCCAGCAGCCGCGGUAAUACGUAGGGUGCAAGCGUUAAUCGGAAUUACUGGGCGUAAAGCGUGCGCAGGCGGCUUUGCAAGACAGAUGUGA